UACGUAGGGUGCGAGCGUUAAUCGGAAUUACUGGGCGUAAAGCGUGCGCAGGCGGUUUUUUAAGUCAGAUGUGAAAGCCCCGGGCUCAACCUGGGAAUUGCAUUUGAAACUGGGAAACUAGAGUGUGUGAGAGGGGGGUAGAAUUCCAAGUGUAGCGGUGAAAUGCGUAGAGAUUUGGAGGAAUACCAGUGGCGAAGGCGGCCCCCUGGCACAACACUGACGCUCAGGUGCGAAAGCGUGGGGAGCAAACAGG
RNAcentral lists this ribosomal RNA (253 nucleotides) under uncultured bacterium. RNAcentral describes it as "partial 16S ribosomal RNA". It matches the Rfam family "Bacterial small subunit ribosomal RNA", at positions 524 to 776 of the family's 1533-position model. The record is from RNAcentral.